This 826-nucleotide ribosomal RNA is filed under the name uncultured bacterium. RNAcentral describes it as "bacterial SSU rRNA". It matches the Rfam family "Bacterial small subunit ribosomal RNA", at positions 8 to 831 of the family's 1533-position model. The record is from RNAcentral.
AGAGUUUGAUCCUGGCUCAGAUUGAACGCUGGCGGCAGGCUUAACACAUGCAAGUCGAGCGGUAACAGGAGAAGCUUGCUUCUCGCUGACGAGCGGCGGACGGGUGAGUAAUACUUAGGAAUCUACCUAGUAGUGGGGGAUAGCUCGGGGAAACUCGAAUUAAUACCGCAUACGACCUACGGGAGAAAGGGGGCAACUUGUUGCUCUCGCUAUUAGAUGAGCCUAAGUCGGAUUAGCUAGAUGGUGGGGUAAAGGCCUACCAUGGCGACGAUCUGUAGCUGGUCUGAGAGGAUGAUCAGCCACACCGGGACUGAGACACGGCCCGGACUCCUACGGGAGGCAGCAGUGGGGAAUAUUGGACAAUGGGGGCAACCCUGAUCCAGCCAUGCCGCGUGUGUGAAGAAGGCCUUUUGGUUGUAAAGCACUUUAAGCAGUGAAGAAGACUCCAUGGUUAAUACCCAUGGACGAUGACAUUAGCUGCAGAAUAAGCACCGGCUAACUCUGUGCCAGCAGCCGCGGUAUACAGAGGGUGCAAGCGUUAAUCGGAAUUACUGGGCGUAAAGCGAGCGUAGGUGGCUUGAUAAGUCAGAUGUGAAAGCCCCGGGCUUAACCUGGGAACGGCAUCUGAUACUGUUAGGCUAGAGUAGGUGAGAGGAAGGUAGAAUUCCAGGUGUAGCGGUGAAAUGCGUAGAGAUCUGGAGGAAUACCGAUGGCGAAGCAGCCUUCUGGCAUCAUACUGACACUGAGUUCGAAAGCGUGGUAGCAAACAGGAUUAGAUACCCUGGUAGUCCACGCCGUAAACGAUGUCUACUAGUCGUUGGGUCCC